RNAcentral lists this long non-coding RNA (642 nucleotides) under Olea europaea (common olive). RNAcentral describes it as "long non-coding RNA (OEUR_LNC000844)". The record is from RNAcentral. Lineage: Eukaryota; Viridiplantae; Streptophyta; Magnoliopsida; Lamiales; Oleaceae.
UUGCUGUCCAUUGUGAGAGAAAGUCAAUAGAAGUUGCCACCUGUUGCCCUCGAAGAGUACAAUUAUUCAUUAAAAUGGGGCAAAAAAUGUAGCACAAACAUGCUCAUAAAGUGAAUCUUUAAAUUUGGUCAAAUUUUUGGUAUCAAAGAGGCGGAGUAUCCAAUGGCGACAAUAACAUAAGCUUGAAUAAGAGUUCUACAGGUCUAAUUGGGUGGUAAGACAAUGUUCGAGUACCAAGUUACGAUGGUUAAAAACAUGUAAAUAUACCGGAUGGAUUCAGUUGAUAGAUCAAGUAGCAAGCGUUGAUAUAAAUCCAAGUAAAGGGUUCGAUCAUCACUUCGAUCAACUAGACCGAGUCGUGAAAGUUUAAAGACGUGCCCCCCUGCUAUUUUUACCAGCCGGUCACUUCAUGCCGUCGUAAAUUCAACACGCAAGAAAAAGGGUAAAAUCCCAUAACUUUUUUUAGAAAAUUGACGGUAUUUGAUCGAAUUUUCAUACACACACAACUAGAGAAAAAAGUGUGAGAAUCCCAUAAAUUAUUGUGAAAAAAUGAGGGGAAUUGGUCGGAUAAAUGCUCUCCCGGACGAGUUAAUUCUGAAAAUUUUCCUGCACCUGGAUUCGAAGAUGAGCUGGGACGCCUUU